This 737-nucleotide ribosomal RNA is filed under the name uncultured cyanobacterium. Its description in RNAcentral is "bacterial SSU rRNA". It matches the Rfam family "Bacterial small subunit ribosomal RNA", at positions 128 to 896 of the family's 1533-position model. The record is from RNAcentral. Lineage: Bacteria; Bacillati; Cyanobacteriota.
GCCCUCAGGAGGGGGAUAACGGCUGGAAACGGCCGCUAAUACCCCAUAUGCCGAGAGGUGAAAUGAAAUUCGCCUGAGGAUGAGCUCGCGUCUGAUUAGCUAGUUGGUGGGGUAAGAGCCUACCAAGGCGUCGAUCAGUAGCUGGUCUGAGAGGAUGAUCAGCCACACUGGGACUGAGACACGGCCCAGACUCCUACGGGAGGCAGCAGUGGGGAAUUUUCCGCAAUGGGCGAAAGCCUGACGGAGCAACGCCGCGUGAGGGAUGAAGGCCUCUGGGCUGUAAACCUCUUUUAUCAAGGAAGAAGAUCUGACGGUACUUGAUGAAUAAGCCACGGCUAAUUCCGUGCCAGCAGCCGCGGUAAUACGGGAGUGGCAAGCGUUAUCCGGAAUUAUUGGGCGUAAAGCGUCCGCAGGCGGCCUUGUAAGUCUGUCGUCAAAGCGUGGAGCUUAACUCCAUUUAAGCGAUGGAAACUGCAAGGCUAGAGUGUGGUAGGGGCAGAGGGAACUCCCGGUGUAGCGGUGAAAUGCGUAGAUAUCGGGAAGAACACCAGUGGCGAAGGCGCUCUGCUGGGCCAUAACUGACGCUCAUGGACGAAAGCCAGGGGAGCGAAAGGGAUUAGAUACCCCUGUAGUCCUGGCCGUAAACGAUGAACACUAGGUGUCGGGGGAAUCGACCCCCUCGGUGUCGUAGCCAACGCGUUAAGUGUUCCGCCUGGGGGAGUACGCACGCAAGUGUG